AAGAACGCGCGGAGAAGAAAUGUUGAAUGAAAAAUUAAGAACGCAGUGUGUGUGCAAAUUACAAAGCAACAACAACGAUUACUACAACAACAACAACAACCACUGCAACAGCAACAGCAACAACUUCUACAACAGCAACAACAACAACAACAACAGCAGCAGCAACUACGACAACAAACACAAGUUUGGAAAACAAAUAACUAAAGUGUAAAAUUUUUGCAAAUAGCAAAAAAACAAAACAAAAAAACAAGCAAAAGAAAAAUCUCUCACACACACAGAAAAGCGCCGACGCAGCUGCCUUUAAGUACUGAGCACACAAGGUCUUGGAUAUGAGAAAUUGAAUAAUGGACAGAUGAAAUGAAGACUUGAAAGUAUAAAAAACAAAAGAAAAAACCAAAAUGAAAUAGAAAGCAAAAACAAAACGGACAACAGAUGCAUUAAAUAUUCAUAUAAAUUACACUUAUUUAAACAAUUACAAAUAAUAAUAAUAAUAUAAUAAUAAUAAUACAAUUAAUAAUAAAUAUUAAUAAUAAUACUCGAAGCUCAAAUAGACUGAAAUAGAGUCCAAAUAUAUUACGAAAGUAAAUGCAAUUAAUUAUACAUAUCAUAAAAAAUAAUUAGCAAUUGCAUUUAAGUUUAAACAAAUACAAGUUCGAACAAUAGCAACAACAAUAACAAUAACUACAGCAACAACAACUGCAACCAAGAAAACAAACAAAGAAAAACAAAUCAAAUAAUAAAUGAAGCAAUAUUCAAUUGAAAACUAAUCACAACAACAAUAACAACAACGUGAAUUGCGUGAAUAAAAGUGACAAAGAAAGUGUUUAUUGUGCUAGAAGAAGUGCGAAACAGAAACAGCGAGAUAGAGAGAGUGUGAGAGUGAGUGAGAAGGAGAGAGAAGUGUGUGAGAGACGCGCGGCGGGCGUCGUGUGACUGGGCGGCCAGCAAAACACAAUAAGAACAAAAACAGAAAACAGAAAACCAAAAACAAAAAGCAAGAACAACAACAACAACAACUAGAGCAAUGUUCAAAGCAAGAAGAACAAACGAGACGCGGCGCCAAAGCAAAUGAAAUAUAAUUUGAAAACGAAAAUGCGAAAAACUUUACGCGCCUAAAGCAACAAGGGAGCAACUGCAACAACAACAACAGCAACAACAACAGCAAGAGAGCGCGAGCAGCAAGAAGAACAACAACAACGACAAUAAAUAUAAUAACAACACCAACAACAACAACAAGAAGACAAAAGAAGAAGGAGAAGAGAACGAAGAACAACAACAACUAGAGAACAGUCAGGUAAGCGAAGAGCAAAGAUUUCGUUUUAUUUUGAGGCAUACAAAUGCGAGUAAGUGAAUGAUACGAUUUUCAUAUUGAUUAAAUUAC
Molecule: RNA transcript, 1381 nt
Organism: Drosophila sulfurigaster albostrigata
Lineage: Eukaryota; Metazoa; Arthropoda; Insecta; Diptera; Drosophilidae
Exons: 3
Source: RefSeq, a predicted model, not a curated record